RNAcentral lists this ribosomal RNA (253 nucleotides) under uncultured bacterium. Its description in RNAcentral is "partial 16S ribosomal RNA". It matches the Rfam family "Bacterial small subunit ribosomal RNA", at positions 524 to 776 of the family's 1533-position model. The record is from RNAcentral.
UACGUAGGGUGCGAGCGUUAAUCGGAAUUACUGGGCGUAAAGCGUGCGCAGGCGGUGAUGUAAGACAGGUGUGAAAUCCCCGGGCUUAACCUGGGAACUGCAUUUGUGACUGCAUCGCUGGAGUGCGGCAGAGGGGGAUGGAAUUCCGCGUGUAGCAGUGAAAUGCGCAGAUAUCAGGAGGAACACCGGUGGCGAAGGCGAGUCUCUGGACGAAUCCUGACACUGAGGCACGAAAGCUAGGGGAGCAAACAGG